Molecule: unclassified non-coding RNA, 211 nt
Filed under: plant metagenome
Description: partial contains small subunit ribosomal RNA, internal transcribed spacer 1, and 5.8S ribosomal RNA
Source: RNAcentral
UUUCCGUAGGUGAACCUGCGGAAGGAUCAUUCAUAAUAAAGUGUUUUAUGGCACUUUUUAAAAAUCCAUAUCCACCUUGUGUGCAAUGUUAGAUCUCGUCAAUCUUGGCGAGAUUUUUAUACAUCAACUCAUUCUUUAACUAAUUUGUCUGAAAAAUAUCAUGAAUACUUAAUUCAAAAUACAACUUUCAACAACGGAUCUCUUGGCUCUC